Molecule: ribosomal RNA, 808 nt
Filed under: Bacillus pumilus
Lineage: Bacteria; Bacillati; Bacillota; Bacilli; Caryophanales; Bacillaceae
Description: bacterial SSU rRNA
Rfam family: Bacterial small subunit ribosomal RNA
Source: RNAcentral
GCUUGCUCCCGGAUGUUAGCGGCGGACGGGUGAGUAACACGUGGGUAACCUGCCUGUAAGACUGGGAUAACUCCGGGAAACCGGAGCUAAUACCGGAUAGUUCCUUGAACCGCAUGGUUCAAGGAUGAAAGACGGUUUCGGCUGUCACUUACAGAUGGACCCGCGGCGCAUUAGCUAGUUGGUGAGGUAACGGCUCACCAAGGCGACGAUGCGUAGCCGACCUGAGAGGGUGAUCGGCCACACUGGGACUGAGACACGGCCCAGACUCCUACGGGAGGCAGCAGUAGGGAAUCUUCCGCAAUGGACGAAAGUCUGACGGAGCAACGCCGCGUGAGUGAUGAAGGUUUUCGGAUCGUAAAGCUCUGUUGUUAGGGAAGAACAAGUGCAAGAGUAACUGCUUGCACCUUGACGGUACCUAACCAGAAAGCCACGGCUAACUACGUGCCAGCAGCCGCGGUAAUACGUAGGUGGCAAGCGUUGUCCGGAAUUAUUGGGCGUAAAGGGCUCGCAGGCGGUUUCUUAAGUCUGAUGUGAAAGCCCCCGGCUCAACCGGGGAGGGUCAUUGGAAACUGGGAAACUUGAGUGCAGAAGAGGAGAGUGGAAUUCCACGUGUAGCGGUGAAAUGCGUAGAGAUGUGGAGGAACACCAGUGGCGAAGGCGACUCUCUGGUCUGUAACUGACGCUGAGGAGCGAAAGCGUGGGGAGCGAACAGGAUUAGAUACCCUGGUAGUCCACGCCGUAAACGAUGAGUGCUAAGUGUUAGGGGGUUUCCGCCCCUUAGUGCUGCAGCUAACGCAUUAAGCACUCC